Molecule: ribosomal RNA, 831 nt
Filed under: Ramularia tricherae
Lineage: Eukaryota; Fungi; Ascomycota; Dothideomycetes; Mycosphaerellales; Mycosphaerellaceae
Description: eukaryotic LSU rRNA
Rfam family: Eukaryotic large subunit ribosomal RNA
Source: RNAcentral
AGGAAAAGAAACCAACAGGGAUUGCCCUAGUAACGGCGAGUGAAGCGGCAACAGCUCAAAUUUGAAAUCUGGCGCAAGCCCGAGUUGUAAUUUGUAGAGGAUGCUUCUAGGUAGCGACCGGUCUAAGUUCCUUGGAACAGGACGUCAUAGAGGGUGAGAAUCCCGUAUGUGACCGGCCCGCACCUUCUACGUAGCUCCUUCGACGAGUCGAGUUGUUUGGGAAUGCAGCUCUAAAUGGGAGGUAAAUUUCUUCUAAAGCUAAAUACCGGCCAGAGACCGAUAGCGCACAAGUAGAGUGAUCGAAAGAUGAAAAGCACUUUGAAAAGAGAGUUAAAAAGCACGUGAAAUUGUUGAAAGGGAAGCGCUUACAACCAGACUUCUGGGCGGUGUUCCGCCGGUCUUUUGACCGGUCUACUCGCCGUCCCGAGGCCAACAUCAUCUGGGACCGCUGGAUAAGACCUUAGGAAUGUAGCUUCCCUCGGGAAGUGUUAUAGCCUCUGGUGAUGCAGCGCGUCUCGGGUGAGGUCCGCGCUUCGGCAAGGAUGUUGGCGUAAUGGUUGUCAGCGGCCCGUCUUGAAACACGGACCAAGGAGUCUAACAUCUAUGCGAGUGUUCGGGUGUCAAACCCCUACGCGUAAUGAAAGUGAACGGAGGUGGGAAGGGUGACCUGCACCAUCGACCGAUCCUGAUGUCCUCGGAUGGAUUUGAGUAAGAGCAUAGCUGUUGGGACCCGAAAGAUGGUGAACUAUGCCUGAAUAGGGUGAAGCCAGAGGAAACUCUGGUGGAGGCUCGCAGCGGUUCUGACGUGCAAAUCGAUCGUCAAAUUUGGGU